RNAcentral lists this small RNA (127 nucleotides) under Marmota monax (woodchuck). The record is from RNAcentral. Lineage: Eukaryota; Metazoa; Chordata; Mammalia; Rodentia; Sciuridae.
GCCAGACGUGGUGGUGCAUGUCUGUAAUCCUAGCAGCUUUAGAGGCUGAGGCAGGAAGAUUGCAAGUUCUAAGCCAGCUUCAGCAACUUAGCAAGGCUCUAAGUAACUUAGUGACACUCUGUCUCUA